UACGUAGGGGGCGAGCGUUGUCCGGAAUCACUGGGCGUAAAGCGCACGUAGGCGGCUUGUUAAGAUGGGCGUGAAAUCCCCGGGCUCACCUCGGGGGGGUCGUCCGUGACUGGCAGGCUGGGGUCUGGGAGAGGCGAGUGGAAUUCCCGGUGGAGCGGUGAAAUGCGUAGAGAUCGGGAGGAACACCAGUGGCGUAGGCGACUCGCUGGGCCAGUACCGACGAUGAGGUGCGAAAGCGUGGGGAGCGAACCGG
RNAcentral lists this ribosomal RNA (253 nucleotides) under uncultured bacterium. Its description in RNAcentral is "partial 16S ribosomal RNA". It matches the Rfam family "Bacterial small subunit ribosomal RNA", at positions 524 to 776 of the family's 1533-position model. The record is from RNAcentral.